UGGGCGUUGGAAGUUUGAGGGGACCUGCUCCUAGUACGAGAGGACCGGAGUGGACAGAUCUCUGGUGGACCGGUUGUCAUGCCAAUGGCAUAGCCGGGUAGCUAAAUCUGGAAGAGAUAAGCGCUGAAAGCAUCUAAGCGCGAAACUCGCCUCGAGAUGAGACUUCCCUGUGCUUUAAGCACACUAAAGAGUCGUUCAAGACCAGGACGUUGAUAGGUCGGGUGUGGAAGCGUAGUAAUACGUUAAGCUAACCGAUACUAAUUGCUCGUGCGGCUUGAUCCUAUAACCUUA
This 291-nucleotide ribosomal RNA is filed under the name Methylophilaceae bacterium. RNAcentral describes it as "partial 23S ribosomal RNA". It matches the Rfam family "Bacterial large subunit ribosomal RNA", at positions 2648 to 2925 of the family's 2925-position model. Lineage: Bacteria; Pseudomonadati; Pseudomonadota; Betaproteobacteria; Nitrosomonadales; Methylophilaceae. The record is from RNAcentral.